This 794-nucleotide ribosomal RNA is filed under the name uncultured bacterium. RNAcentral describes it as "bacterial SSU rRNA". It matches the Rfam family "Bacterial small subunit ribosomal RNA", at positions 35 to 821 of the family's 1533-position model. The record is from RNAcentral.
GCUGGCGGCAGGCCUAACACAUGCAAGUCGAGCGGUAGAGAGAAGCUUGCUUCUCUUGAGAGCGGCGGACGGGUGAGUAAAGCCUAGGAAUCUGCCUGGUAGUGGGGGAUAACGUUCGGAAACGGACGCUAAUACCGCAUACGUCCUACGGGAGAAAGCAGGGGACCUUCGGGCCUUGCGCUAUCAAAUGAGCCUAGGUCGGAUUAGCUAGUUGGUGAGGUAAUGGCUCACCAAGGCGACAAUCCGUAACUGGUCUGAGAGGAUGAUCAGUCACACUGGAACUGAGACACGGUCCAAACUCCUACGGGAGGCAGCAGUGGGGAAUAUUGGACAAUGGGCGAAAGCCUGAUCCAGCCAUGCCGCGUGUGUGAAGAAGGUCUUCGGAUUGUAAAGCACUUUAAGUUGGGAGGAAGGGCAUUAACCUAAUACGUUAGUGUUUUGACGUUACCGACAGAAUAAGCACCGGCUAACUCUGUGCCAGCAGCCGCGGUAAUACAGAGGGUGCAAGCGUUAAUCGGAAUUACUGGGCGUAAAGCGCGCGUAGGUGGUUUGUUAAGUUGGAUGUGAAAUCCCCGGGCUCAACCUGGGAACUGCAUUCCAAACUGACUGACUAGAGUAUGGUAGAGGGUGGUGGAAUUUCCUGUGUAGCGGGUGAAAUGCGUAGAUAUAGGAAGGGAACACCAGUGGGCGAAGGCGACCACCUGGACUAAUACUGACACUGAGGUGCGAAAGCGUGGGGGAGCAAACAGGAUUAGAUACCCUGGUAGUCCACGCCGUAAACGAUGUCACUAGCC